Molecule: ribosomal RNA, 106 nt
Filed under: Shewanella algae
Lineage: Bacteria; Pseudomonadati; Pseudomonadota; Gammaproteobacteria; Alteromonadales; Shewanellaceae
Description: partial 16S ribosomal RNA
Rfam family: Bacterial small subunit ribosomal RNA
Source: RNAcentral
AGAUAGCUUAACCUUCGGGAGGGCGUUUACCACGGUGUGGUUCAUGACUGGGGUGAAGUCGUAACAAGGUAGCCCUAGGGGAACCUGGGGCUGGAUCACCUCCUUA